Molecule: ribosomal RNA, 385 nt
Filed under: uncultured organism
Description: bacterial SSU rRNA
Rfam family: Bacterial small subunit ribosomal RNA
Source: RNAcentral
GGCUUAACACAUGCAAGUCGAGCGGCAGCGCGGGGGCAACCCUGGCGGCGAGCGGCGAACGGGUGAGUAACGCGUAGGAAUCUACCUGAUAGAGGGGGAUAGCCCGGGGAAACUCGGAUUAAUACCGCAUACGCCCUAAGGGGGAAAGCAGGGGAUCUUCGGACCUUGCGCUAUCAGAUGAGCCUGCGUCGGAUUAGCUAGUUGGUGAGGUGAAGGCUCACCAAGGCGACGAUCCGUAGCUGGUCUGAGAGGAUGAUCAGCCACACUGGAACUGAGACACGGUCCAGACUCCUACGGGAGGCAGCAGUGGGGAAUAUUGGACAAUGGGGGAAACCCUGAUCCAGCCAUGCCGCGUGUGUGAAGAAGGCCCUAGGGUUGUAAAGCU